GAUGAAGAACGCAGUGAAAUGCGAUAAGUAAUGUGAAUUGCAGAAUCCAGUGAAUCAUCGAAUCUUUGAACGCACAUUGCGCCCGCCAGCAUUCUGGCGGGCAUGCCUGUUCGAGCGUCAUUUCAACCCUCGACCUCCCUUUGGGGAAGUCGGCGUUGGGGACCGGCAACACACCGCCGGCCCUGAAAUGGAGUGGCGGCCCGUCCGCGGCGACCUCUGCGUAGUAAACCAACUCGCACCGGAACCCCGACGUGGCCACGCCGUAAAACACCCAACUUCUGAACGUUGACCUCGAAUCAGGUAGGACUACCCGCUGAACUUAAGCAUAUCAAUAAGCGGAGGA
RNAcentral lists this unclassified non-coding RNA (343 nucleotides) under soil metagenome. RNAcentral describes it as "partial contains 5.8S ribosomal RNA, internal transcribed spacer 2, and large subunit ribosomal RNA". The stretch from base 1 to 120 matches the Rfam family "5.8S ribosomal RNA", at positions 35 to 154 of the family's 154-position model. The record is from RNAcentral.